AACGAACGCUGGCGGCAUGCCUAACACAUGCAAGUCGAACGAGACCUUCGGGUCUAGUGGCGCACGGGUGCGUAACGCGUGGGAACCUGCCCUUAGGUUCGGCAUAACUCCCCGAAAGGGGUGCUAAUACCGGCUAAUGUCUUCGGACCAAAGAUUUAUCGCGUUUGGAUGGGCCCGCGUUGGAUUAGCUUGUUGGUAGGGUAAAAGCCUACCAAGGCGACGAUGCAUAGCUGGCCUGAGAGGAUGAUCAGCCACACUGGGACUGAGACACGGCCCAGACUCCUACGGGAGGCAGCAGUGGGGAAUAUUGGACAAUGGGCGAAAGCCUGAUCCAGCAAUGCCGCGUGAGUGAUGAAGGCCGUAGGGUUGUAAAGCUCUUUUACCCGGGAUGAUAAUGACAGUACCGGGAGAAUAAGCACCGGCUAACUCCGUG
This 433-nucleotide ribosomal RNA is filed under the name uncultured bacterium. Its description in RNAcentral is "partial 16S ribosomal RNA". It matches the Rfam family "Bacterial small subunit ribosomal RNA", at positions 29 to 507 of the family's 1533-position model. The record is from RNAcentral.